This 234-nucleotide long non-coding RNA is filed under the name Ananas comosus (pineapple). RNAcentral's name for it is "long non-coding RNA (ACOM_LNC032284)". Lineage: Eukaryota; Viridiplantae; Streptophyta; Magnoliopsida; Poales; Bromeliaceae. The record is from RNAcentral.
CAAAUAUAUAUAUAUAGAGUUGCUCUAGGAUACUUUUACAAGUAUUAUCCCCAUGUUGCUAUCACGUUUUUAGCCAUUGGAUCUACUUUUUGAUUACAAAUAGCCCUUGGAUCAAAUACUAUUCCACCUACCACCACCUACCACCAUCAUCUCAACCUCACAUCUCUCCAUCCAAAGGCUAAAAACACACAAGUAUCACUUGGGUGAUACUUAUAAAAGUAUUCUAGCCCUACU